RNAcentral lists this ribosomal RNA (497 nucleotides) under uncultured bacterium. RNAcentral describes it as "partial 16S ribosomal RNA". It matches the Rfam family "Bacterial small subunit ribosomal RNA", at positions 28 to 507 of the family's 1533-position model. The record is from RNAcentral.
GAUGAACGCUGGCGGCGUGCCUAAUACAUGCAAGUCGAGCGAACGGACGAGAAGCUUGCUUCUCUGAUGUUAGCGGCGGACGGGUGAGUAACACGUGGAUAACCUACCUAUAAGACUGGGAUAACUUCGGGAAACCGGAGCUAACACCGGAUAAUAUUUUGAACCGCAUGGUUCAAAAGUGAAAGACGGUCUUGCUGUCACUUAUAGAUGGAUCCGCGCUGCAUUAGCUAGUUGGUGAGGUAACGGCGUACCAAGGCAACGAUGCAUAGCCGACCUGAGAGGCUGAUAGGCCAAACUGGAACUGAGACACGGUCCAGACGCCUACGGGAGGAAGCAGUAGGGAAUCUUCCGCAAUGGGCGAAAGCCUGUCGGAGCAACGCCGCGUCGGUGAUGAAGGUCUUCGGAUCGUAAAACUCUGUUAUUAGGGAAGAACAGAUGUGUAAGUAACUGUGCACAUCUUGACGGUACCUAAUCAGAAAGCCACGGCUAACUACGUG